This 1089-nucleotide long non-coding RNA is filed under the name Parus major (Great Tit). RNAcentral describes it as "lncRNA (ENSPMJG00000009338.1)". Lineage: Eukaryota; Metazoa; Chordata; Aves; Passeriformes; Paridae. The record is from RNAcentral.
GCACGUCUGCCCCUAAUGAGUUUGUGUUUUGACUUUGGGGACAGCGAAUAGAGAUGAAAGAGUAGAAGGAGUGCUUUUGGCUGAAAAUAUAAAACCCAUGAAAACUGCUCACCCAUGUUUCUCUGUUCAGGGCAAGUGUGGAAGGAACUUCUCUGGCUGUGCCAGGUGAGCCUAGAUGCAGAAGAGAGACAGGAUAUUAAGAUAUACAUGAAUUAAGUAUGACUGAGAAAAUGCAGAAUUAAUCUGCAAAUUUAAAGGAUUAAUUUAUUCCCAUUAUUUCUGUUAUUUCACUUCAUGCUCACUGUGUGCCUUUCUUGUAUUUGGUCUCUCCUUUAAAAAAAGUUUAUAAAUUUUUCCAGUGACCUGGAAGACUAUUUUUUUUUAUCUUUAAAGAAAAUAGUCUGCAGAAUAAUCUCCUCUUCUAGGCAAACAAAUGUCAUCUUCAGAAUAAAACAUGCAUACACAAGGAAAUUCCACCGAAGUAGGGGAAAAAAAGCUUACUUGGCUUGGGCCCCUUUCAGCAUGAUCUGAUAUACAGUAUUAAGUUAUCCUUAGAUGAUCUGUUAUUAUCUUCCUCCUCCCGAGCCACGUGUCAGCAACCAUAUGUGUGUGAGCAGCUGAAACUGUCCUUUGAACUCUCCACUGGCAAGUGGACGAGUGGACAGCAGGCUGGAGUUGGGUGCAGUACCUGUCCAAGUGGCUGGCCAAGCUCUGUAUCCUCAGGCCUCUGCCACUCCAGAUGGAGUCUGGAGUCAAGUCCCAGCUUGUUUGGAGUCAACUCAGGGAAUCUCAGUGAGGAAUUGCUGCUCCUGUGAGCUGAGCAUGUGAAUCCCUGGUAGCCAGAAGUUGAUCCAGACCUGACCUUCAAAAUAGGAUGAAGACUGUCUCAUUAGCACCUGCCUGUCUCUCUCUGGACCAGUUGCACCCAAAGCUUCCAGGCAGCCCUGUGGGUGUGUUCAGGCCUCUCUGCACCUCUUCCCUGUGGGCAUGUCCUCAGGAAGCUGACAAACAUUGACCACAGGGGACAAACCACAACAAAUCGACUGAGCCGCAGAAGAACCCUGCCCCUGUGCUACCUAUGUGUGAGCA